Molecule: non-coding RNA, 432 nt
Organism: Coturnix japonica (Japanese quail)
Lineage: Eukaryota; Metazoa; Chordata; Aves; Galliformes; Phasianidae
Source: RefSeq, a predicted model, not a curated record
CCUCUCCUAGAUACCAUUUAAGGGCUGACCACCACCUCAAGCUCUCUUUCUGGAGACUGCUUCUUUGUGGAGUUCUGCUGGCAAGCCUCAGUGUUUUCCAUCUGGACUGAAGGCCUCAGAGUUGAAUGAAAACAUAAAUUGUUAUGGAAAGAGUGGAGCAGAUCAGCAGCCAAACCAGGCCCCAAAUAUUUCUGUCUCAGUUGUACAGAAAUAGAACUGAAGGCGACGCAGCUGGACGUGCAUGGAGAGCAGUGGAGGACAUGGCUUCAAUGAUUGACAGUUGAAGACAACUGAGUCUGGGCUUUUCCUCAAAAUAUCUGAGUACAGAAGAUUGUAAAGCAGUGCUUUAGCACAUCUCUCUUUCUCCCAGAUCAUUUACAAAUCACAAACACAAACAUUAGUUUCCAGCAGUCUUAUUAAAUCAUCAUUUGU